This 29-nucleotide non-coding RNA is filed under the name Homo sapiens (human). The record is from RNAcentral. Lineage: Eukaryota; Metazoa; Chordata; Mammalia; Primates; Hominidae.
GACAAAUGUGGUAGGUGGUCGAAGUCAUC